Molecule: unclassified non-coding RNA, 332 nt
Filed under: soil metagenome
Description: partial contains 5.8S ribosomal RNA, internal transcribed spacer 2, and large subunit ribosomal RNA
Rfam family: 5.8S ribosomal RNA (bases 1-120)
Source: RNAcentral
GAUGAAGAACGUAGCGAAAUGCGAUAAGUAAUGUGAAUUACAGAAUUCAGUGAAUCAUCGAAUCUUUGAACGCACAUUGCGCCCGCCAGUAUUCUGGCGGGCAUGCCUGUCCGAGCGUCAUUUCAACCAUCAAGCCCCGGGCUUGUGUUGGGGACCUGCGUCCGACGCAGGCCCUGAAAACCAGUGGCGGGCUCGCUGUCCACACCGAGCGUAGUAACUAACCUCGCUAUGGAGUGGCGCGGGCGCCUGCCGUAAAACCCCCAAUUUCACAAGGUUGACCUCGGAUCAGGUAGGAAUACCCGCUGAACUUAAGCAUAUCAAUAAGCGGAGGA